Bubalus bubalis (water buffalo) is the source of this 8557-nucleotide long non-coding RNA. RefSeq lists it as uncharacterized. The transcript is spliced from 5 exons. The record is from RefSeq and is a predicted model, not a curated record. NCBI's taxonomy places the organism in Eukaryota, Metazoa, Chordata, Mammalia, Artiodactyla, Bovidae.
AUCGGCGACCACGCGAGGAUUCUGCGCAUGUUCAAGGCGAGGGGGUAGGAGUAGGAGUUUGCGCAUGAGCAGAAGUGUCGGGAAAGCUAGCGUAGUGGGGGUUAGGAGGCGGUAUUGACAGCUGUGGAAGCAGCCCGCGUUCCCGGCAUGCCCCGGGGCGGCGGGGUUGGCUCUAACGAAUUUGAAUGAGGAGCCUCAGCGCUUUCGGCGCCAUUUUCGAGUGAUGCCUGAUCUCAUCAAUCUAGCGGGAGAGACGGACUAACCUGUCCGAGACUACAGCGCCUUUAAGACUCGGCCGAAAAAUCACUAAAAAAAUCCCAAAAAUUUACUUAGAGCAAAGGGCACUUGGCGGAGCCUCGUCAGGGUUGGCGCAGCGGGUUUUGACCUUUAGGAGAGAGCCAGUUCUGGAGAACAAGCUAACCUCUUUGAUUGAACAUAUAAUGCAUUGGAACAUAAUAGGAGAUUAAGGUUAUUAACAAUAAAAUGAAGACCAUAAUAUAACAAGCCCCCUACUUAGCCCUGCAGUUCUUACCUUAUGUCGUUUGAGAGGUGUACUGCAAGGAGUUAAAUGCUGUUUGUAAAAUAAUGCUUUUACAAAGGUGCUCAUGUGUUUAAAAAAAACAAAACCUUGGAGUAAAGUAGCAGCACAUAAUGGUUUGUGGAUUUUGAAAAGGUGCAGGCCAUAUUGUGCUGCCUCAAAAAUACAAGGAUCUGAUCUUCUGAAGAAAAUAUAUUUCUUUUUAUUCAUAGCUUUUAUGAUAGCAAUGUCAGCAGUGCCUUAGCAGCACGUAAAUAUUGGUGUUAAGAUUCUAAAAUUAUCUCCAGUAUUAACUGUGCUGCUGAAGUAAGGUUGGCCAUACUCUACAGUCAUAUUUCAGCGUAUAUUAAUAUUACCAAUGUAUUUUCAGCUUUAUUGAUAAUUAAUUUUCAGUAUUAUAUUCUUGUUAUAUUUUAUAUGAUUGAAUAAAAAUAAGUUAGUACUAACUUUUAGAUGUGUAUUAAAAGUGUUUUGUAAUUUAAUAAUUGUGUUGAAUGCCAUCAAGAGUUUAUUGAAAGCUCAUACAGCAUCAAAUAAAUUUGUUUUAAUGUAUAUUUAUAUUCAGUUUAAAUAUUUUUAUAUUUAAAUAUUUUUACUUCAGAACAGAAAUACUACUUUUCCCUUUCUGUACUUAAAUUAAGACAUUUGCUUAUCUCACGGAUAAAUAUAUAUUGUAAAAUAUACAUUUUUGAACAGAACUUAGAGGAUAAUUUUUAGUAAUAAAUAUUCUGUUAUAAGGGAAAGGGGAAAGUAUCCAAAUAUGUGAAUUAAAUUCCUGAAAUCCUAUGUUUCAAAGAUGCACUUAAUCAUAACUUUAAAGGUAGGAAAGACCUUACAAAUGACCAGUAUAUUUGUUGGAUAGCUCAAGAAAUGGAAACUCAAGUAAUCUGCUACACUUGCAGAUUAAGAUAUUAAACCUGUGUCUUCUGACUUUAUACUGUCAUAUUGGUUUUUUCUUGUUUUUACUAAAAAAUUUUGUUUAUCCUUAGCCACAGAUUCUUGUUUGUAAGUAAAAUAAAAAACAUGAAGGCCUUGUUUGGCCUUUUUAAUAUCUAGUAUUUAACUUUAGCAUAAGACCUACAAAAAUUAUUAUAGUUACUAAUUUUAUAGAUGCAAACAAUCAAAAUUUUAAUUAAAAUUUGAAGGAAAAUGUUUUCUUUACCUUGUUCCUUAUUUGUUGAUGUUUAAUAAGUCAUUAAACUAAAAAUUGAUGUUCAGGAUAAGAAGAGUGUGUUUGUGUAGGUACCAUACUCCUGGUCUUAUUUUCUACAAGAAAUAUCUCACUCCUUUAAAUUGUAACCCAGCAGAAAAUCUAUAAAAUACAAGCAGUUCUUAGAAAAUCAUUUCAAUUUUAAUUGUCUAUUUUGGAAACCCUUAAAGUAUUUCAGAUGUAACUUAAGGAAUUGUGUUUGAGCAUCUUCUGUUUAAAUUACAAUUUCAAGGUAAAGAAAAUUACUUAUUAUAAGAGAGUUCUCAUUUUUAAGAAAAGUCUCACUGUUUCUCAGCAAAAUUUUCCCCCAGAAUAAAGAAGUAAUACACUAUAUUGGCUAGAAUCAAAUGCCAGCUUUUACAUGGAAGUAAUGCUGCCUUAGGGCUUUUAAAAAUCAUUCAUCAAGCUUUUAACCUGUUUCCUUUAUUUCAUCUCAGCCAUUUCAUGAAUGACUGUUACAAAUAUAUAAUUUUUGGUUCCAUUAAAAAUAUUUCAGGAACUAAUAUGUAGAUACUUAGAAAUAUUUAUUGAAUGAGUUUCAGAGUUGUUCUGUGUUUUACAGAACAACCCUGGAAUUAGAUUUCUAUUUUGAUUUUAUUUUCCUUAAUGUAUUUGAAGUCAGAGUUUAGAAAAUUGUAUUUUGUCUAAUCUGCCUUCUAAAUGCAUUUUACUUUUACUAAGUAAACCUUUAUAUCUAGGUGCUCAAGAUGUGAAAAAGGAUCAUUUGGGGCUAAAUAAAAACUUGAAUCCUGAGAAUGGAUUAAAGAAAAAAUUGAAAUAUUGGGAGAGUAAGAAAGUAUAGAAAAACUGUUGCAUUGAAAUUUAUUAUAGCAGUAUGCAGCUCCUUUCCAGUCUCUUAAUAGAGAACAGGAAAUAGCCUGUCGAUACCUAAUGAAACACUCAUUUAGGUAACUCAACAGGACUUAAAGUCUUAUUUAUAAGGGUUAAUAUACUUCCAUCUUUGUGUAAUUUUGAAAUACAAAGAGCAAAUGGUAAAAUGAAAGUUAUACCCUUUCAUGUUAGUCUUAAUAUGGCCAUUUAUUUUGCAGAGAAGAAAUAGUUAUAUAUGUGUGUAUAUUAAGAUUUCAUUUUUUCCGUCUUCUUUGGAAGAAAAUUCUAAUCUUUUUCAUUCAAGUUUAAGUUGAUGCCAAAUAAUUCCAGUAUUGAGCAUCUUAAAUCUGUUACUUGGAUUAUGGAUUGAGUUUGGGGCUAACUCAGAGGACUACAGGCAAGUAUUCAGGAGAUAGCCAGAGGGAUAUUUUAGUAGGUGAACAAUUCAUUUCACAUACUGUGUUCAAAUUCAGGUAUCUUAAGAUCACAUAUAUGUAACAUAGAAUUGAAAAUUUGAUCAUAGACUAAAUGUCAUAUUUAAAGAUUUUCUUCAAUUAGUCAUGUGUCCUUUUAAUUGUUAGAAUUAAAAGUGUUUUUAAACCACCAAGUAUCAUUAGUGGUAUCCUUGGUUAGUCAUAACUGGAUUAAAAGGAUUACACUUUAAUAAACUUUGACCUCUAAGUGUUUUUAUUUAUUUAGAAGUUGACAUUCUAAAUCAUUUUUUUUUCCUUUUGCAGGUGGAUAUUACUAGCCCUUAUUCAUGGAAAAAGUUUUAUGCUAAGUGUUGUUUCUCAUUGAGUAUUAGCAAAAAGGAGAAAAAUUAAUAUUCUAAUCUUUUGAGAUUAGAUUUGGCUCUAGUAAGUAAUAUUUAGACCAAUUAUUGGGUUGGCCAGAAAGUUCGUUUGGUUUUUUCUAUAAGCUGCUUCUAGUAGCACUUGUCUUUAAACUUCAUUUGAAACAACUUCCUUAGAUUGUAUUGUAUACAAUUGUCAUAUCAGAGUGCAUUUGAAAAGAAACAACGAAAAUUGGCACAUUUUUGUGUAGCUAUUUUAAUACUGAAGAUGGAAGAAAACAACAUUUUCAGCAUAUUGUGCUUAUUUCAAAAAAGGUAAAAAUGCAGCUGAAACACAAAGGUUUGUGCAGUGUGUGGAGAAAGUGCUGAGACUGAUUAAAUGUGUUAAAAGUUUGUGAAGUGUCAUGCUGUAGAUUUUCUCACUGGAUGAUGCUCCACGUUCAGGUAGACCAGUUAAAGUUGAUAGUGAUCAAAUUGUGAACAAUCAGUGUUCUACCAUGCAGGAGAUAGCCAACAUCCUGAAAAUAUCCAAAUCAAGCGUUGAAAAUCAUUAGCACCAGCUUGAUUAUGUUAAUCGUUUUGAUGUUUGAGUUCCACAUAAGUUGAGAGAAAAAUCUGCUUGACUGUAUUUCGACAUGUGCAAUUCUCUACUGAAACAUAACGAAAACUGUUUGUUUUUAAAACAAAUUGUGAUGAGUGAUUAAAAAGUGAAUACCAUACAAUAAUGUGGAAUGUAAGAGAUCAUGGGACAAGUGAAAUGAACCAUCACCAACCACACCAAAGGCCAGUCUUCAUCCAGAGGUGAUGUGUAUAUGGUGGGAUUGGAUAGGAGUCCUCUAUUACGAGCUCCUUCCAGAAAACCAAACAGUUAAUUCAAAGUACUGUUGCUAGUUAAACCAACCGAAAGCAGCACUCAACGAAAAAUGUCCAGAAUUAGUCAACAGAAAAUGCGUAAUUUUUCAUGAGGAUACUGCAAGACUGCAUGUUUCUUUGAUGACCAGGCAAAAACUGUUGCAAUUUGGCUGGAAGGUUUUGAUUUAUCUGCUGUAUUCACCAGACAUUGCACCUUUUUGUUUUCCAUUUAAAGUUUUUACAAAAUUCUCUUAAUAAAAUUUCAGUUCCCUGAAAGGCUAUGAAAGACACCUGGAACAGAUCUUUGCUGAAAAAGAUAAAAAAAAUUGGGGAAGAUGAAAUUAUGAAGUUGCCUGAAAAAUGGCAGAAGGUAGUGGAACAAAAUGAGGAAUACAUUGUUCAGUAAAGUUCUUGGAGAAAUGAAAGAUGAGUCGUUUUACUUUGAAACCGAAGGAACUUUUUUGGCCAACCCAAACACUUGCAUGUCUGGAAGACCAUCAUCAGUACAUUUCCAGCUAAACAUUUUUAUUUUCUUACCUCUUAUCAGGGAUUUCUUAUUUUUGUUUGAGCUCCUUUAAUGGAGAAUUAAUUUCUCCAGUAGAAUUUAAGAAUUUAUGUUCUUACCUGGCUUAUUUAUAAAAUGUAUCCCAGAGAUUUCUGAUAUCUUUUUUUUUUUUUUAGGCUAUUUGCAGUGAAAAAAAUGUUGGCAAAAUAAAUAAGUUUAAACUUGCUAUGUUAAAAUUACUGUGCAGUGUGAUAAAUUAGUUGAUGAGUUUUUGUUUGUAUUAUACUGAAACUAAAUUCAACAUUUAUAACUUCUAUAUGGGUCUGUUUCUUGAUUAUUAAUACAUGGGAUUCAUAUAAAAAUACAUGAAUAAUACAUUUAUAUUAGCAUAUUGAUGAGUAUAGGUUCCCCUUAAUUCUGUUUAACUUCAAUAAUCUGAUACUUACUAUAUUCUUAUUAUAAGACUAUAUUAUUACUUAAUAAGAAUUAUAUUACUAUAUUCUUAUGAUUACAUUCAUGUUUUGCAAAAAUGUAAACUGUCUAGAGAAUCUUGUUUAUGCUAUAGGAUUAGAUUUUGAGACACUAAAUGUUCUUCAAUUUAAUUAACUUGUUAUUAAAGUUAUUCUGUAUAUCAUUUUAUAGUUUAACCGCUUAGCAUUAAUUAAUCUUUAGGAAGUAGUAGAAAUUUUAAAAUCACUCCAAAGUUUUCUUAUUUCCACAUCUCAUUAUUUUAUAAUCUUUAGAAAUGCUUAUAUUUAUGAAAGUAAUAUUUUCAGAGAUAUUAAUUCUUACAGCACCACUAAAACUUUUUUUUUCCUUUGGACUUUAAUACAUAUGCUAGUAAACUAUGGGAUAUUUUUGUUUGUUUGUUUUCUUUUUUUUUUUUUUUUUUAAAGUUUCCAUGUGAUCACUUAAAUGCCAUUUUAGCGUGAAACAACAAAGCGUUGCCCCAUAGUUAGAAGUACAGAAAGUGUAGGUACAUCAUUUCUUAAGAUAAUUUGUAGAUUUUCACAUAGUCUAUGCAGAUUUUUAUAUUGUAUUUCCAUAAAUGUCUUUUCUGUCUUAUGUUUAACAAAGAGCAUUAAAUAGAUUUGAAGCAUUUAUAUAGAGAGGACUACAAAUUUUAUUACAGGCACUGAGGAUCAGCACUGAACAAAGCAGAUAAAUUCCAGCCCUUAUAGAGCUUACAAUUUUGGGAGUGAGGCAUGGGUGAUAGAAUACACAAAAAACUGAUAGGCGCUAAUAUGUGGUAUGUCAGGUGGUGGUAAGUUCUAUGAAGAAAAAUAAAGCAAGGGGAGUGGGAGGAAUGGGUUAAACAGGUUUGGAAGGCAGGCAGGCAGAUGUGUUUUUCAAUAGUGUGGUCAGAAAAUUCCUCACAAAGAUAACAUUUGAAUGAAGACCUAAAAACUAAAGGAGCAAACCUCUAGGUUUCUGGGAGAAGAGCCUUUCAAGCAGAUGAAAUAACACCUACAGAGACCUUGAGGCUGAAACGUUUUUGGUGCUUACUAAAAAGAGCAGCAAGAAGGUUUGGAUGGCUGUGAUCAACUAUACAAGAGAGAAUAAUAGCUCAUAAAUUAAAGUUUCUAGGAGCCAAAUUUUACGGCUGUUUAAGCUCUUAGCUUAACAUAUUUUCCUUCCUUCUUUAAAACUACCUUGAGGGUUAUGUGAGCCUCAGCCUAUUUGACCUUUGUAGAUAAGAGUAUUUUUUUUAAGAUCUGAUUCAGAACCUCCAUGUGAGACCAUUUAGAAUGUAAAAUGUUUAAAUGGUUGGUUAAUAGGUAUACGUGUGAUGAUAAGGUUUUUAUGAAUUGUGUUUUGAUGGCUCUGAAAUUGUUUUUACUCGCUCAGUUUAGCCUAGUCAAAGCUAGCUAAAUGAGUAAAUGACAUAUUUGUAAUUUACUCAAACGAACCAAAAUUGAUUCCUCCAUUCUAGUAAUUGCCACCAUUUUUCUCACUUAUUCCAACUCUGUUAGCAUUUUAGCUAAGGACUUAACUUGCCUGAAAGUGUUCAUCCCCUAUGGUAUGUCCAACUAAUUUAAUCUUCCUAAUGCACAGCUUUUGCAUAUAUGAUAAAAUUCAGACUUAUUGUACCUCAUGAUCUUGCCCUAACCUUGAAGUUUUUCCAUUUUUUUCAAGCAAACUAGUCCUGCUCCAUCUGUUUUUCUGUCUCUAAUUUCAGUGCCCUUAUUUAUGCUGUUUCACCACCCCAAUUCUUCCCCAAUUUAUUCCUGUACAGUUUUUAAAUGCACUAUGUUGAAUGUUCCAUGAGUUUAAUAGUUUGGCAUUAUCCCUCCUUCCCAUGUUACAAAAAAUUUAUCCCUGUAGCUCUUAACCUUUUUCUCUCACUUAACAAAGAAAUACAGCAUUUCUAUCAUUAAUUUCACCUCAUUUAUUCAUGUAUAUAUAUCUUUUAUAAACGUAUUGACAAUAUGAAGAAAAAUAUUUAAACUUAAGAAACAAAAUGAAAAAAAUUUAAACUUGAGAAACAAAACAAAAAGCAGGUAGACUAAGACAUCCAGAAUUUCAGAACACCCAAAGUUCAAAUAUGAAUUUUAUGCUGACAAAUGAUACAGCUGAUUUUUUUCUCAGUUAUAUGAAAACAUAUAUACCACAUACAGUGUGGACUAGUCAUAUUUCUAGGAUUUUAGCACACUAAAAGGAUUAAUUCUUAAAAGUAUGGAUUCUCUAUUUCACUUUGCUAAUAUGGUAAGCGCUGUUGAUAGAGCGAUUUAAGAAGUCCAUGUGUUUAUGUAGUAUUGUUUAUAAUAUUAGAGGAUUGGAAGAGUUUUUAAAGUGUCCAGUAAUAAACUGAUUAAUAUGCUGAGUGGAAUACUGUGCAGCUAUUUAAAAUAAUGUAAUGAGUAUUUAAUGAGCUAGAAACUUCCUCGUUAUGUGAAAAACGUUACCACAUAGUAUGAAUCAUUAGAAGAAUACAUAUGCUAAAACGUUACUACUGGUGUAUUAUGGUGUGAGGUAAAUCUUAUUUUUUUAUAUUAUAAAUAAACAUGUAUGAUUUGGGGAGUGGUGUUGGGAAAAGAUUCUUGAAAAAUCAAAAUACUUGAAGCAGCCUUACCACUUAAUCAUCUGCUUUGGAAGUCCAUAAAUGGAAAACCUAAGUUCUUAUGGGUUCAGGAACUUGAGAAGUGAAAAUGAAGAAUUAACUAUUUGGGGAAGAACUACAGGUAAUUUCAAAAAUCAAAUAAGUUUUAAAUCUGCCUCGGGGGAGCAGUCUACUCUGUUUCUUGAAAAGCUUUGCUGUCAUUUCUCCAGUCUUCCAGCCCCCAAAACCUGAAAAGGUAAGUAUAAGAAAAGGAGUGGCUGUCUAUUUUAAUUUUGGAACUAUAUUAAUAAACUAAAGAAAAACAAAUCUGGUUUAUAGAGAUUUAAUAGCACAGCGAAACUGACUUUCUGAUCUUAAAAGGAUUUUCUUUUUUAAAAAGUUUUUAGCUUUUUCCCACCAUAGAACUAAUGUAUAGGCAUAGAAACCUCAAAAAAGGCAAAAAAUUCUGUUUAAAAAGUAUAUUUCUAUCAUCCAGUGAGAAUUACUAUUAUUAACAGUAUGUUAUUUCCUUCUAAAUGUAUAGUUGGAUUAGCAAAUUUAUUUCCUAAUUUGUAACUAUGCCAGGAGCUGGAAAGAACAUCACCCUCUAGAAGAGAGACGAGAUAUGCUGCUGGCUCAGAAGGUUUUUCUUGACGUUUAUCUAAAAUACAGUUGACCCCCAAACAAUGUGGGUUUGAACUAUGGGAGUCUUUAUUUUUCUCAAUAAAUACAUGCUAUAGUAUUACACGAUCUACAGUUGUUUGAAUCUGAGGAUGCAGAACCGUGGG